This 64-nucleotide ribosomal RNA is filed under the name uncultured bacterium. RNAcentral's name for it is "partial 16S ribosomal RNA". The record is from RNAcentral.
AACACUUGACAUGUUCGUCGCGACUCUAAGAGAUUAGAGUUUUCGGUUCGGCCGGACGAAACAC